GACAAUUCAGGUUCGUACGAAGUUCGUUAUGAAAUGAAGUGGUUGGUGUAUUACAUAGUUGUAGAGAUUGGAGUUCACUCAAAACCCACCAAAUGACUCCUCCGACCGUAUUAUGAUGAUCUCCAAGUUUUGGACUCAAUCCGAUAUCAAUUGGUCCAUGAAAUUGGACAUUUCAGGUUCGCACGAAGUUCAUUAUGAAAUGGAGUCGUUCGUGUAUUCCAUAGUUUUACCCAUUGGAUUUCACUCAACAGCCACCAAAUGACUCCACCCAC
This 272-nucleotide long non-coding RNA is filed under the name Prunus persica (peach). Its description in RNAcentral is "long non-coding RNA (PPER_LNC003428)". The record is from RNAcentral. Lineage: Eukaryota; Viridiplantae; Streptophyta; Magnoliopsida; Rosales; Rosaceae.